GACGAACGCUGGCGGCGUGCUUAACACAUGCAAGUCGAACGAUGAACCCGGAGCUUGCUCCGGUGGAUUAGUGGCGAACGGGUGAGUAACACGUGAGUAACCUGCCCUUGACUCUGGGAUAACUGCGGGAAACUGUAGCUAAUACCGGAUACGACCCUCGGCGGCAUCGCCAGGGGGUGGAAAGAAUUUCGGUCAAGGAUGGACUCGCGGCCUAUCAGCUAGUUGGUGAGGUAACGGCUCAUCAAGGCGACGACGGGUAGCCGGCCUGAGAGGGUGACCGGCCACACUGGGACUGAGACACGGCCCAGACUCCUACGGGAGGCAGCAGUGGGGAAUAUUGCACAAUGGGCGCAAGCCUGAUGCAACAACGCCGCGUGAGGGAAGACGGCCUUCGGGUUGUAAACCUCUUUUAGUAGGGAAGAAGCGAAAGUGACGGUACCUGCAGAAAAAGCACCGGCUAACUACGUGCCAGCCGCCGCAGUAA
This 484-nucleotide ribosomal RNA is filed under the name uncultured bacterium. RNAcentral describes it as "partial 16S ribosomal RNA". It matches the Rfam family "Bacterial small subunit ribosomal RNA", at positions 28 to 523 of the family's 1533-position model. The record is from RNAcentral.